GCUCAUCAGGAGAGCGGCCCAGCUCUCAACCAGUUGUGCCCGAGCAGCACACUACCCCGCCUGAUGCAGACUUUGCAUAGGGUAAUGGUGCCACUGGGGCAGAACGCCCUAAUUCGCUAAGCCGCCCCUACCCACACAGGUAGAAACGCAGCUUGGUACGCAUCUUCGAUGUUGGCCUCACACGGUUACGGAAUUUGUCCGUAACAUCCUCCCCCACUCAAAACCAGG
This 228-nucleotide long non-coding RNA is filed under the name Jatropha curcas. RNAcentral describes it as "long non-coding RNA (JCUR_LNC001236)". The record is from RNAcentral. Lineage: Eukaryota; Viridiplantae; Streptophyta; Magnoliopsida; Malpighiales; Euphorbiaceae.